UACGAAGGGGGCUAGCGUUGCUCGGAACCACUGGGCGUAAAGGGUGCGUAGGCGGGUCUUUAAGUCAGGGGUGAAAUCCUGGAGCUCAACUCCAGAACUGCCUUUGAUACUGAAGAUCUUGAGUUCGGGAGAGGUGAGUGGAACUGCGAGUGUAGAGGUGAAAUUCGUAGAUAUUCGCAAGAACACCAGUGGCGAAGGCGGCUCACUGGCCCGAUACUGACGCUGAGGCACGAAAGCGUGGGGAGCAAACAGG
Molecule: ribosomal RNA, 253 nt
Filed under: uncultured bacterium
Lineage: Bacteria
Description: partial 16S ribosomal RNA
Rfam family: Bacterial small subunit ribosomal RNA
Source: RNAcentral